Molecule: long non-coding RNA, 320 nt
Filed under: Mytilus galloprovincialis (Mediterranean mussel)
Lineage: Eukaryota; Metazoa; Mollusca; Bivalvia; Mytilida; Mytilidae
Source: RNAcentral
CGUGAAAUUGGGGUCAAAACUUUAAUUUGGAAUUAAAAUUAGAAAGAUCAUAUCAUAGGGAACAUGUGUUCUAAGUUUCAAGUUGAUGUAACUUUAACUUCAUCAAAAACUACCUUGACCAAAAACUUUAACCUGAACUUUGCACUAUCAUUUUCUAUGUUCAGUGGACCAUGAAAUUGGGGUCAAAACUAUAAUUUGGCAUUAAAAUUAGAAAGAUCAUAUCAUAGGGAACAUGUGUAUUAAGUUUCAAGUUGAUUGGACUUCAGCUUCAUCAAAAACUACCUCGACCAAAAACUUUAACCUGAAGCGAACGAACGGAC